GUAUCAAUAGGCGGAGGAAAAGAAACUAACAAGGAUUCCCCUAGUAACUGCGAGUGAAGAGGGAAAAGCUCAAAUUUAAAAUCUGGCAGUUUCACUGUCCGAGUUGUAAUUUAGAGAAGUGUUGCCCGUGCUGGACCGUGUAUAAGUCUCCUGGAAUGGUGCGUCAUAGAGGGUGAGAAUCCCGUCUUUGACACGGACUCCCAGUGCAUUGUGGUACGCUCUCAAAGAGUCGUGUUGUUUGGGAAUGCAGCACUAAAUGGGUGGUAAAUUCCAUCUAAAGCUAAAUAUUGGCGAGAGACCGAUAGCGCACAAAUA
This 315-nucleotide ribosomal RNA is filed under the name uncultured Physalacriaceae. RNAcentral describes it as "partial large subunit ribosomal RNA". It matches the Rfam family "Eukaryotic large subunit ribosomal RNA", at positions 40 to 350 of the family's 3401-position model. The record is from RNAcentral. Lineage: Eukaryota; Fungi; Basidiomycota; Agaricomycetes; Agaricales; Physalacriaceae.